UCCUCCCUUCCUCCUUUCCUCCCUCCCUCUUCUUCCUUCCUCUCUUCCUUCCUAUUCCUCUCUCUUCCUCCUUUCCUCCCUCCCUCUUCUUCGUUCCUCCUUUCUCUUCCUUCCUACGCCCCUCUCUUCCUCCUUUCCUUCCUUCCUCAUUCUCUUCCUUUCCUUCCUUCCUUCCCCUUCCCCUUCCCUUUUCCUCUCUUCCUCAUUCCCUUUCUUCCUCCCCAUUCCUCCCUUCCUCCUUUCCUCCCUCCCUCUUCUUCCUUCCUCUCUUCCUUCCUAUUCCUCUCUCUUCCUCCUUUCCUCCCUCCCUCUUCUUCGUUCCUCCUUUCUCUUCCUUCCUACGCCCCUCUCUUCCUCCUUUCCUUCCUUCCUCAUUCUCUUCCUUUCCUUCCUUCCUUCCCCUUUCUCUUCCUUAUUCCUCUCUUCCUCCUUUCCUUCCUUCCUCAUUCUCUUCUUCCUUUCUUCCUUCCCCUUUCUCUUCCUCCUUUCUUUCGUUCCUCAUUCUUCUUUUCCUUCCUUUCCCUUUCUCUUCCUUAUUCCUCUCUUCCUCCUUUCCUUUCUUCCUCCCCAUUCCUCUCUUCCUCCUUUCCUCCCUCCCUCUUCUUCCUUCCUCCUUUGUCUUCCUUCCUAUUCCUCUCUUCGUCCUUUCCUUCCUUCCUCAUUCUCUUCUUUCCUUUCUUCCUUCCCCUUUCUCUUCCUCCCUAUUCCUCUCUUCCUCUUCCUUCCUCAUUCUCUUCCUCCUUUCCUUUCUUCCUUCCCCUUUCUCUUCCUAUUCCUCUCUUCCUCCUUUCCUUCCUUCGUCAUUCUCUUCUUUCCUUUCUUCCUUCCCCUUUCUCUUCCUUCCUAUUUCUCUCUUCCUUUCCUCCUUCCCUUCUUCUCUUCUUUCCUUUCUUCUUGAUGGGGGUGUCACUGCUUCCAUCAAGCCCCUCCCCCCCCAAAAAAAACUCCCGCUCGGAGGGCGGGACGGCGACGGGACCUUGGAUCCUUACCUCCGCUCCGGUUGCGGGUCCGAAAGGGCCACUCUCAUGAAGCCGGGGUACCUUUUGCAGAACUGAGGAAGCGGGGAAAAAGGAGGCGUUGAGAGGCACCGCACGAUCCCACCGCCCGCCACCGCCUGCUCCUCUUCCCCCCCCCGUCCCCCGGGGCCGCGACUCACCGCCACGAUCUCGGCCUGCGGGAUGUUGGGGGCGAUGUUGCGGAUGAAGAGGGAGCAGGUCUUGUGAAGGGCGCGCGGCUUGGGAUCCUCGGCGUCUUUCUCCUUGCCUUUGGGGGACCCUUCCCCGUCCUUCGGGGCGCCCGCCUCCUCCUUGGGUUUCUUGUCCGGGGCUACGUAGGAGGCAGGUCAGGACAGGUUGCUCGCUCUCUCUCUCACACACACCACCCUCCCCCACAAUCCCGCCGAGAUCCUCGCACACAGACACAUACCUCGCACGGAGACGCAUACCUCGCACGGAGACGCAUACCUCGCACGGAGACACAUACCUCGCGCGCAGACACGUACCUCGCGCGGAGACACGUACCUCGCGCGGAGACACGUACCUCGCGCGCAGACACAUACCUCGCGCGCAGACACAUACCUCGCGCGCAGACACAUACCUCGC
Molecule: long non-coding RNA, 1601 nt
Filed under: Notechis scutatus (mainland tiger snake)
Lineage: Eukaryota; Metazoa; Chordata; Lepidosauria; Squamata; Elapidae
Description: lncRNA (ENSNSUG00000000114.1)
Source: RNAcentral